Molecule: ribosomal RNA, 641 nt
Filed under: Staphylococcus sp. I13B-01794
Lineage: Bacteria; Bacillati; Bacillota; Bacilli; Caryophanales; Staphylococcaceae
Description: bacterial SSU rRNA
Rfam family: Bacterial small subunit ribosomal RNA
Source: RNAcentral
CGUUAGCGGCGGACGGGUGAGUAACACGUGGAUAACCUACCUAUAAGACUGGGAUAACUUCGGGAAACCGGAGCUAAUACCGGAUAACAUAUUGAACCGCAUGGUUCAAUAGUGAAAGGCGGCUUUGCUGUCACUUAUAGAUGGAUCCGCGCCGUAUUAGCUAGUUGGUAAGGUAACGGCUUACCAAGGCAACGAUACGUAGCCGACCUGAGAGGGUGAUCGGCCACACUGGAACUGAGACACGGUCCAGACUCCUACGGGAGGCAGCAGUAGGGAAUCUUCCGCAAUGGGCGAAAGCCUGACGGAGCAACGCCGCGUGAGUGAUGAAGGUCUUCGGAUCGUAAAACUCUGUUAUCAGGGAAGAACAAAUGUGUAAGUAACUGUGCACAUCUUGACGGUACCUGAUCAGAAAGCCACGGCUAACUACGUGCCAGCAGCCGCGGUAAUACGUAGGUGGCAAGCGUUAUCCGGAAUUAUUGGGCGUAAAGCGCGCGUAGGCGGUUUUUUAAGUCUGAUGUGAAAGCCCACGGCUCAACCGUGGAGGGUCAUUGGAAACUGGAAAACUUGAGUGCAGAAGAGGAAAGUGGAAUUCCAUGUGUAGCGGUGAAAUGCGCAGAGAUAUGGAGGAACACCAGUGGCGA